GACGAACGCUGGCGGCGUGCUUAACACAUGCAAGUCGAACGGAAAGGCCCUGCUUUUGUGGGGUGCUCGAGUGGCGAACGGGUGAGUAGCACGUGAGUAACCUGCCCUUGACUUUGGGAUAACUUCAGGAAACUGGGGCUAAUACCGGAUAGGAGCUCCUGCUGCAUGGUGGGGGUUGGAAAGUUUCGGCGGUUGGGGAUGGACUCGCGGCUUAUCAGCUUGUUGGUGGGGUAGUGGCUUACCAAGGCUUUGACGGGUAGCCGGCCUGAGAGGGUGACCGGCCACAUUGGGACUGAGAUACGGCCCAGACUCCUACGGGAGGCAGCAGUGGGGAAUAUUGCACAAUGGGCGGAAGCCUGAUGCAGCAACGCCGCGUGCGGGAUGACAGCCUUCGGGUUGUAAACCGCUUUCGCCUGUGACGAAGCGUGAGUGGCGGUAAUGGGUAAAGAAGCACCGGCUAACUACGUG
This 468-nucleotide ribosomal RNA is filed under the name uncultured bacterium. RNAcentral's name for it is "partial 16S ribosomal RNA". It matches the Rfam family "Bacterial small subunit ribosomal RNA", at positions 28 to 507 of the family's 1533-position model. The record is from RNAcentral.